Molecule: long non-coding RNA, 295 nt
Filed under: Phoenix dactylifera (date palm)
Lineage: Eukaryota; Viridiplantae; Streptophyta; Magnoliopsida; Arecales; Arecaceae
Description: long non-coding RNA (PDAC_LNC009581)
Source: RNAcentral
AUGCCCGAAGGAGAAAAAAGAUUGGAUAGCCGCUAUGACAUCUGCCUUAACUAUAUUCCAAGCCUUCUUAAAGAAGCCAUCACUAAAACCAUCCGGACCGGAAGCCUUGUUGUCCUUCAAAGAGAACAUCACUAUCCUUAUUUCGUCAUCUGAAACAGAUCGACCUAAAUCCUCCCUCUGAAAAUCAGUGAGCCGCUUUGGAAGGACUCGCUGAAGCAUGUCCUCAUCAACACCCGCAACCGCAUGAGAACCUAGAAGAUUCUGAAAGAACUGCACAAUGGUGUCACUGACCUCA